Molecule: ribosomal RNA, 251 nt
Filed under: uncultured bacterium
Lineage: Bacteria
Description: partial 16S ribosomal RNA
Rfam family: Bacterial small subunit ribosomal RNA
Source: RNAcentral
CGUAGGGUGCGAGCGUUGUCCGGCUUUAUUGGGCGUAAGGAGCUCGUAGGCGGCUUGUCGCGUCGGAUGUGAAAGCCCGGGGCUUAACUCCGGGUCUGCAUUCGAUACGGGCAGGCUCGAGUGUGGUAGGGGAGAUCGGAAUUCCUGGUGGAGCGGUGAAAUGCGCAGAUAUCAGGAGGAACACCGGUGGCGAAGGCGGAUCUCUGGGCCAUUACUGACGCUGAGGAGCGAAAGCGUGGGGAGCGAACAGG